AUUCCAGCUCCAAUAGCGUAUAUUAAAGUUGUUGCAGUUAAAAAGCUCGUAGUUGGAUUUGUGGAUGAUCUUGAGGUCCACGUUUUGCGUUGGUACUAUUGAGAUUGUCCAUCCUUGGGUGGAAUCUGUGUGGCAUUAGGUUGUCGUGCAGGGGAUGCCCAUCGUUUACUGUGAAAAAAUUAGAGUGUUCAAAGCAGGCUUAUGCCGCUGAAUAUAUUAGCAUGGAAUAAUGAGAUAGGACUUGGGUGCUAUUUUGUUGGUUUGCGCACCUUGGUAAUGAUUAAUAGGGACAGUUGGGGGUAUUCGUAUUCCAUUGUCAGAGGUGAAAUUCUUGGAUUUCUGGAAGACGAACUACUGCGAAAGCAUUUACCAAGGAUGUUUUC
Molecule: ribosomal RNA, 383 nt
Filed under: Amphora pediculus
Lineage: Eukaryota; Bacillariophyta; Bacillariophyceae; Surirellales; Surirellaceae
Also listed under: 2 other names
Description: SSU rRNA
Rfam family: Eukaryotic small subunit ribosomal RNA
Source: RNAcentral